GGAGAGCAAGGCGUAAAGCCGAGGUGCGAGAAAUGCGAUUUCAUCCAGCUUUCUCUUGCAUGUCUGGGACACCGUACCGAUCACCUCGGCCUUCACGGGACCGAAACGAAUAUAGAAUCAAUCGUGAAAGCUCCGAGCACUCGCAGCUUGAGCACCCUACAAUUGACUGUAAGCGUUGCUUUUUACCUGUCUCGUUCCCAGGCGUGCACGGGCGCUCCGUUCUGGUCAUGGCCUAGCUACCGGCCAUGGCUAUGCUACAACGGUUUUCUCAUUUCUUUAUUUAGUGUCUCUGUAGACGGUAGAGCUAUGCCCUCAGAAUCUUAAUCAAGGUACACAGGAUCAAACAGGAUGACAAAACGGUUGACGAUGUCUGUGGGCUGACCAAUUGCAUGAGCAACAAAGCCUCCUCCAUGCCCUCUUUGGCGGCAUAAUGUCAAAUGGAUUUACACUGAGCGACUUGUAUUUCACAAUACGGCCAGAAGGAGACCCGCCGACCAGUACACUGUACCGCUUCAACUUGACGAAAGGAAAGUUACACAAUAUUGGGCACCUGCUCACACCCAAAUACGAU
Molecule: long non-coding RNA, 571 nt
Organism: Dermacentor andersoni
Lineage: Eukaryota; Metazoa; Arthropoda; Arachnida; Ixodida; Ixodidae
Source: RefSeq, a predicted model, not a curated record